Molecule: ribosomal RNA, 216 nt
Filed under: Glomeromycotina sp.
Lineage: Eukaryota; Fungi; Glomeromycota
Description: partial small subunit ribosomal RNA
Rfam family: Eukaryotic small subunit ribosomal RNA (bases 40-216)
Source: RNAcentral
GGGUCAGUAGGUUGGUCGUGCCACCGGUACGUACUGGUCUCACUGAUUCCUCAUUCCUGAAGAACCGUAAUGCCAUUAAUUUGGUGUUGCGGGGAAACAGGACUGUUACUUUGAAAAAAUUAGAGUGUUUAAAGCAAGAUAACGCUUGAAUACAUUAGCAUGGAAUAAUGAAAUAGGACGAUCGAUCCUAUUUUGUUGGUUUCUAGGAUUGACGUA